GGGAGGACUGCAAGGAGGGAGGCGUGUGUGAACUUGGGUUGAGCAACCCCCCAGGGCAGCCCCAAAUUCCUGAAGCUGGCACUGGAGAGGCGCAGAGCAGGCCCAGCCCUCCAGCUGCCCAUGCUCAGCCCCUCAUGCCCCAUCUCUGGCCCCACAGCUGCCCAGGCUCAGCCCCUCAUGCCCUGUCUCUGCCCCCAACCCCCCGGCAGCUGGCGGAGAUCCACGGUGUGCCCCGUGGGCUGUAUGACGGGCCCGUCCACGAGGUGAUGGUGCCUGCCAAGCCAGGGAGUGGCGCUCAGGCCCGCGCGUCCUGCCCAGGCAAGAUCUCAGUCCCUCCUGUGCGCAACCUACAUCAGUCGGGGUUCAGCCUAUCUGGGUCUCAGGCUGAUGACCACAUCGCCCGACGCACAGCACAGAAGAUCAUGGCACCACCUGGCGGCCGCU
Molecule: small RNA, 444 nt
Filed under: Pan troglodytes (chimpanzee)
Lineage: Eukaryota; Metazoa; Chordata; Mammalia; Primates; Hominidae
Description: processed transcript
Source: RNAcentral